GAUGAAGAACGUAGUGAAAUGCGAUAAGUAAUGUGAAUUGCAGAAUUCAGUGAAUCAUCGAAUCUUUGAACGCACCUUGCGCCCUUUGGCCAUUCCGAAGGGCAUGCCUGUUUGAGUAUCAUGAACACCUCAACUCUUCAUGGUUUUCCAUGAUGAGCUUGGACUUUGGGGGUCUUGCUGGCCUGUGGGUCGGCUCCUCUCAAAUGAAUCAGCUUGCCAGUUUUUGGUGGGCAUCACAGGUGUGAUAACUAUCUACGCUUGUGGUUUUCCACCAGGGUAACCUUCAGCAGUGGAGGUUCACUGGAGCUUACAAAUGUCUCUCCUCUGUGAGGACAGCCCUUUGAAUGUUUGAUCUCAAAUCAGGUAGGACUACCCGCUGAACUUAAGCAUAUCAAUAAGCGGAGGA
RNAcentral lists this unclassified non-coding RNA (406 nucleotides) under soil metagenome. RNAcentral describes it as "partial contains 5.8S ribosomal RNA, internal transcribed spacer 2, and large subunit ribosomal RNA". The stretch from base 1 to 121 matches the Rfam family "5.8S ribosomal RNA", at positions 35 to 154 of the family's 154-position model. The record is from RNAcentral.